This 460-nucleotide ribosomal RNA is filed under the name uncultured bacterium. RNAcentral's name for it is "partial 16S ribosomal RNA". It matches the Rfam family "Bacterial small subunit ribosomal RNA", at positions 338 to 795 of the family's 1533-position model. The record is from RNAcentral.
CCUACGGGAGGCAGCAGUGAGGAAUAUUGGUCAAUGGACGAGAGUCUGAACCAGCCAAGUAGCGUGAAGGAUGACUGCCCUAUGGGUUGUAAACUUCUUUUAUAAGGGAAUAAAACGAGGCACGUGUGCCUUUUUGCAUGUACUUUAUGAAUAAGGAUCGGCUAACUCCGUGCCAGCAGCCGCGGUAAUACGGAGGAUCCGAGCGUUAUCCGGAUGUAUUGGGUUUAAAGGGAGCGUAGAUGGGUUGUUAAGUCAGUUGUGAAAGUUUGCGGCUCAACCGUAAAAUUGCAAUUGAUACUGGCAGUCUUGAGUACAGUUGAGGUAGGCGGAAUUCGUGGUGUAGCGGUGAAAUGCUUAGAUAUCACGAAGAACCCCGAUUGCGAAGGCAGCUUACUAAACUGUGACUGACAUUGAUGCUCGAAAGUGUGGGUAUCAAACAGGAUUAGAUACCCUUGUAGUC